Molecule: long non-coding RNA, 791 nt
Filed under: Serinus canaria (Common canary)
Lineage: Eukaryota; Metazoa; Chordata; Aves; Passeriformes; Fringillidae
Description: lncRNA (ENSSCAG00000008280.1)
Source: RNAcentral
GUGCAUGUUGUUUCUGGAAUACAUCAUAUUCAUUUGCAGAAACCCUGUGUAUGGAUCUUUAACACUUUUCCCCCCUUUUUUUUUCCGAGGUACCUAGAAUAAUGGCUUUUUAAGACAGUAAUAAAGCUGUGUAACUUGUGGGGAAAAGCACACUGUGGCUCACAAUCUGAAUUAAACGUGUGUCAUUGGGGCUGAGGGGGAAAUUUUCUACCUUCAAGAAACCUGAUAUUUUGGACCAGAUCCCUGUCUGAACAGGUUGUAUGCUGCCCUUUUCAAAAUCAAGCUAUCAGAGGAUGCCCUUCAGCUGAAGUGUUAAGAGGACUUGGUGAGCUUAACAUGUUUCGCCUGCUUAAUUUAAUUUGGAAAAAUUCAACCAGAAAAUGAAGUUAUUAACAGAGAUCAGAGCAUGGCCAUGGAAUAACAACAGCUACAAACAUAUCUCUGUGUGCUGAGGCAGUUACCCACGAGAUGGUGUUCCCUGGAUAAUUGUGUUUGUAAAUAUAGAUGGAUGCACAACACAGGCUGCUGCCUAGGAAAAUCAAGACUAACUGAACUGACUAAUUCUGAGUGCUUACCUCCUUUCAAUGCUUUUUUGGGAUGGGGAGUUUUAGUCUAAAGGAACAUGUUUAAGAACCAGUCUCUGCCCAGGCUGCUGAAGGCAGAAGAUGCCUGAGAGUGAAACAAAAAUGUUUUGAAGAGCAGGAUGGUACUCCCUGUCUCUUCUGCACUAACCACCAACAGCUGGAGAACAGGCUGCAAGAGGCAGGAGGACCACAUCUCAUGGACACGUG